RNAcentral lists this unclassified non-coding RNA (392 nucleotides) under soil metagenome. RNAcentral describes it as "partial contains 5.8S ribosomal RNA, internal transcribed spacer 2, and large subunit ribosomal RNA". The stretch from base 1 to 122 matches the Rfam family "5.8S ribosomal RNA", at positions 35 to 154 of the family's 154-position model. The record is from RNAcentral.
GAUGAAGAACGCAGCGAAAUGCGAUACUUGGUGUGAAUUGCAGAAUCCCGUGAACCAUCGAGUCUUUGAACGCAAGUUGCGCCCGAAGCCAUUAGGCCGAGGGCACGCCUGCCUGGGCGUCACACGUCGUUGCCCCCCCCCAUCUACUCCUUCGGGAUUGCGGGGGGCGGAUGAUGGCCUCCCGUGCGCCUCGCCGCGCGGUUGGCAUAAAUGCCAAGUCCUCGGCGACGCACGCCACGACAAUCGGUGGUUGCGAAACCUCGGUUGCCCGUCGUGUGCGGUCGUCGCGCAUCGAGGGCUCGAAAAAAUUGCCGAGUUCCGGCUCGGCUUUCAACGCGACCCCAGGUCAGGCGGGGUUACCCGCUGAAUUUAAGCAUAUCAAUAAGCGGAGA